AAAGCGUGCGCAGGCGGUCUUGUAAGACAGAGGUGAAAUCCCCGGGCUCAACCUGGGAACUGCCUUUGUGACUGCAAGGCUAGAGUACGGCAGAGGGGGAUGGAAUUCCGCGUGUAGCAGUGAAAUGCGUAGAUAUGCGGAGGAACACCGAUGGCGAAGGCAAUCCCCUGGGCCUGUACUGACGCUCAUGCACGAAAGCGUGGGGAGCAAACAGGAUUAGAUACCCCAGU
Molecule: ribosomal RNA, 230 nt
Filed under: uncultured bacterium
Lineage: Bacteria
Description: partial 16S ribosomal RNA
Rfam family: Bacterial small subunit ribosomal RNA
Source: RNAcentral